GAUGAACGCUGGCGGCGUGCCUAAUACAUGCAAGUCGUGCGGAAAGGCCACUUCGGUGGUACUCGAGCGGCGGACGGCAGAGUAACGCGUAGGAACAUACCCCAAACUGAGGCAUAACUGCUCGAAAGAGCAGCUAAUACCGCAUGUGAUCUUCGGAUUAAAGCUUCGGCGGUUUGGGAAUGGCCUGCGUCCGAUUAGCUAGUUGGUGAGGUAAAUGCUCACCAAGGCUUCGAUCGGUAGCUGGUCUGAGAGGAUGAUCAGCCUGACUGGAACUGAGAACGGUCCAGACUCCUACGGGAGGCAGCAGUAGGGAAUUUUCCACAAUGGGCGAAAGCCUGAUGGAGCAACGCCGCGUGCAGGAUGAAUGCCUUCGGUUGU
This 378-nucleotide ribosomal RNA is filed under the name uncultured bacterium. Its description in RNAcentral is "bacterial SSU rRNA". It matches the Rfam family "Bacterial small subunit ribosomal RNA", at positions 28 to 426 of the family's 1533-position model. The record is from RNAcentral.